This 229-nucleotide long non-coding RNA is filed under the name Nicotiana benthamiana. RNAcentral's name for it is "long non-coding RNA (NBEN_LNC037362)". The record is from RNAcentral. Lineage: Eukaryota; Viridiplantae; Streptophyta; Magnoliopsida; Solanales; Solanaceae.
GAUUAGGCAGGACAUGACCAGAAUGCAGGUUUUCGAGGACAUGACCCUUGAUAGGGGAGUCUGGAGGUCUAGAAUCAGGAUUGUAGGCUAGGGGCUCAUAGAGUUCUUCGUACGCCUCUACCGGGGUUGGGUGGGAUAGUAGGGUUACCCAUAGGUGAUUAGUGUUUUAGCUUAUGCCCCCAUAUGGUUGUUAGUAUGGUAGUUACUGAUUGUUACUAUUGCAUGCGAC